UACGAAGGGGGCUAGCGUUGUUCGGAAUCACUGGGCGUAAAGCGCACGUAGGCGGUUCUUUAAGUCAGGGGUGAAAUCCCGAGGCUCAACCUCGGAACUGCCUUUGAUACUGGGGAUCUCGAGUCCGGGAGAGGUGAGUGGAACUGCGAGUGUAGAGGUGAAAUUCGUAGAUAUUCGCAAGAACACCAGUGGCGAAGGCGGCUCACUGGCCCGGGAUUGACACUGAGGCGCGAAAGCCAGGGGAGCAAACGGG
This 253-nucleotide ribosomal RNA is filed under the name uncultured bacterium. RNAcentral describes it as "partial 16S ribosomal RNA". It matches the Rfam family "Bacterial small subunit ribosomal RNA", at positions 524 to 776 of the family's 1533-position model. The record is from RNAcentral.